AACUCUGCCUUGUACAUAUAAUUCCAAAUAUGCUCAUCUCUAAACUUCUGGUCCUUAGCUUUGGCCUUUGGACCUCCAUCUGCAAUUGGCUUCAGGAAUUCAGGCAGACCUCAGUUGGUUAGAACUGGUCAUAACAUUUCCUGCACACUCACCCUCGAUAUUGGUGCCCCUUAUAGUAGUGUACUUACAAUAAAGUACCGUUGAACCCAUUAAAGUCAAAAUUGUUGCAACUUAAUUCAUUUUAUUUGGUACAUUAUUGGAUACUAUGCACAGUUGCAACUAUUUGACGAUAAAAGUUAUUAAUCCAUGUUCAGUAUAAUGUAAACAACUUUAGGAAAAUCUGUAAUACAAUGUGUUCAUGGUCAUGUUUGAUUAUGGAGACAAUUGUGUUUAAGUUAAUAAUUAUAGUAUGACACGUGAAAUUAGUUACAUAUGAAAACUACCUGGAAUAGUGAUCUCCAGUGUAAUUACUGUAGCCUGGAAUGGUUACUUCAGAAAUGUUAAGUACGUCAGGAAUGAAGAAUUUAUAGUGUAGCCAAGAAGAUGAAGAGAUGAAUAAAUACACAACUGAUUAGAUUUAUAACUGUGCUUCUGCAAAUAAGCAUUUGAUUGUAUUAUUCCAGUAUCUGUAUAUUUGUUCACAUGGAUGUAUUACAUUUUUAAGAAUUUUUUUUAAUAUGAAGUGUUCCAAGUGACACAUUAUUUAACAUAUUCUUUAACACAAAGAGCCACUGCUCUUUGUUUUGUGAUGGCUGCCUUCAACAAAGGAAGGCCUUUCACCAAAAAUCUGUAAACAUAAAUGCAUUUAACUCAUGGCGAACCAGCUGACCUAGCUGAAUUCUGUCUUGCCAUAUUAUCUUCUUGACCAAUCCCAUUGUUCUAGUUUUGAUAGCAGCUGACCCAAAUAUCAUUUAAUUAAUACGAAAUACAUGGUGACCUGAGCCCCGCAGUGAUAUCUCAUCUAUCCUAAAUGAUUUUGUUUUCUGUGCUAAAAAUAUAUCUUUCUUUCCCCACGUAUUAAUUUUACCUGUUUAUUGCUUGACAGUCUGUCAACAUGUCACAUCCUAUUUAAUCAAAAAGAGAUCUUAUGGAUUGGAGACAUGAUUUUGCAACAGGAAUAAUUUUGAAUGUUUUUAAAUAAGAUAUAAAUACUGAUAUAUAAUGAUUACAUGUGUUUGCGGGGUGGAUUUAGAGAAGAUAUCUUUUCAUUACAUGCAGUCAAUACAGCACUGACAAAGGGGAUGUUACUUCGUGGCAAUCUAUGUUUGACAGUGAGCAGCUGUUGACUGGCUGCAUUGUCAGUCUGAAGAAGGAUCUCGACCUGAAACCCAUUCCUUCCCUCAGAUGCCACCUGUCCAGCAGAGUUACUCCAGCAUUUUGUGUCAGUCUUGUCUUCAUGACUACUGUGGAGAUUUUGCAAAUUCUGUAUGAAGAACUGGAGUCCAUUAUAUGAAUAGAAUAUAAUAGAUUUGAAUGCCUUUUUAUUGUCAUUCAAACAGACAAGGUUUAACACAGUUUACAUAAACAUCCAUCACAGUGGAUCUCCAACAUCUCCUCACUGUGAUGGAAGGCAGAAUCUUGUCUCUUCCCUUUGUUCUUCUCCCGCAGUCCAUCAGUCCAACUGCAGCGUCGAGGUGACGGGGCUCCCGAUGUUAAAGCCCCCGGCAGGCAAUGAUUUUCAGCAUCUUUUUGUUUGUUUACGUGCUGCACCUAUUUAUGGUUCUUUAAAAUAAACUGGACAAUUUCUAUCAACAAACGGGAUUGCAUGCUAUUGGAAAUGCAUUAGCAAAUACGGCAAUGGAUAGACUAGAUGGACUGAAGAAUGUAACCAUAUUGCUCAGGUUAUUGAGAUACACUUGACUCUUGAAUACAGUUAAGUGACACAGAAUAUUAUGAAUAACACAGCAAGUGAUUCAACAUCUGCAAGUGCUGGAUUCUGGUCCAUCCUCAACAAACACUAUUGGGUGCAGAGAUGCAUUAUGGCACAGCUUAGACACCUUGCCUCGAGGUAGACACUGAUCAGGAGGUACUGAUUCUGGUACAAUGCUUACAAUGG
Molecule: long non-coding RNA, 2056 nt
Organism: Leucoraja erinaceus (little skate)
Lineage: Eukaryota; Metazoa; Chordata; Chondrichthyes; Rajiformes; Rajidae
Exons: 3
Source: RefSeq, a predicted model, not a curated record